Molecule: long non-coding RNA, 1275 nt
Filed under: Coccomyxa subellipsoidea
Lineage: Eukaryota; Viridiplantae; Chlorophyta; Trebouxiophyceae; Coccomyxaceae
Description: long non-coding RNA (CSUB_LNC000746)
Source: RNAcentral
GGGCUGUAAGCCCUCGUGCAAAUUCUAUUGGUGUCCCUAUCUGCGAACUGCCAGCAGGGGCUGUCAAAGCUGUUUGACAGAUCCUCGCCGCUCUCUGAGCAGCUCAGGUCCAUCUGGAUCGUGGCCUGCUGGGAAGUGGAUUUCGUUGUGCAUGCUUGUUGGAGCAUCCUAAAGAAUAUACUGCAUGCACAGACAUUGUUCAUCAGCGUGUCGCUGUGUGUGAUGCUCAGGUUGUUGGGGCAGUCUUCUAUGCAGAGUAAGGGUACAGGAAAGGAGCAACCAUGCCAGGUACAUAUAAAAGGAACAUAUCAAUUGCUUUGGGAGAGUUGCUGAUUCUGGGGUGACCGCAACUUUUGAAGAGACACAAGUGUAAGGGCUGCCAAGACUUCAAGAUGACGAAGGUUUCAGAGACGUUGCAGCAUCGCGACGACUUUUACCCCGUUCCGAUGAAAAGAGAGGAGCGAAAUGUACAUGCCUCUACUGGCUUUUAGGCAUCCGGCUUAUCUAGGGCGAAUCGCUGCUGUGCCGCACCUCAGAGGGGGCAAUGACGAGGGGUGCCCCUGUGCUCGGCAGACGGGAAUCCGUUGCUACGAAAAGGGCGAGACUGUCCGCUUGCACUUCUAUCGCACAUCUCAGACGCAGCCGGUGCUCCCAAAGGCUUUCAAGCACUGAACCUGCAAACCCCAGUCCCAGCAUCAUCAUGACUUCAAAUAUCCACCGACAGCGCAAUGAACGGACCCUCGUUCCAAUGCGUGCCAUACCAGCAAGUAUAUCUAUUGAGAGAUGCUGGCAGCUGUAAUAUCACAGAAUGUAAGGGGCGCGCAGAAAAAGCCCAAUGCAGCUCAAGAUACAGGGGUGUCAAAAGCCAGCAGGGGUCUGUAGAGUGGACUCAGGCGCUCCCGGCAGCAACAGGCCAUUCUGGGAUGUUAUUGGGAGGACCCAAUAUCAUUUGAUGGCAUUGCAACUUGACUCAUUUUCACAAACAAGGUGUUCCGCCGGGACGCUUUGUUCCAAUCAAGUCGGCGAGGCAGUGCCAAAGACGGCCAGAAUGACCUGAAAUGCUUAAUCACAAGCAUGUUAAUCGACCGUUUCGUUUGGAUCACUUUGGAAAGCUGGAGCUCACCUGAUCAUUGACGGGUCAAUCAAAGGCAAGUCAAUGGUGGUGCAGCAGUGCCCGCUUCAUUGGCUGCACAUCCCCAUCGGAGGCGCUGUAUUUACAAAAUACGUCACUCAGAUUAAAACGGGCGCCGACAGCGAUUGAUACCGGCGUGUUGU